CAUCCUCCAAGGCUAAAUACUCCUGACUGACCGAUAGUGAACCAGUACCGUGAGGGAAAGGCGAAAAGAACCCCGGCGAGGGGAGUGAAAAAGAACCUGAAACCGUGUACGUACAAGCAGUGGGAGCCCCACCACUAAGCCAGUGGUGAACUCUACAUACGCAUCCUUUGCUGAGGAUACGGUUAACGGAGCGAAAGCGACGUUCAACCGCAAAAGAAGCAGAGGGGGCUUAGUGGUGGGGUGACUGCGUACCUUUUGUAUAAUGGGUCAGCGACUUAUAUUCUGUAGCAAGGUUAACCGAAUAGGGGAGCCGGAGGGAAACCGAGUCUUAAUUGGGCGUUAAGUUGCAGGGUAUAGACCCGAAACCCGGUGAUCUAGCCAUGGGCAGGUUGAAGGUUGGGUAACACUAACUGGAGGACCGAACCGACUAAUGUUGAAAAAUUAGCGGAUGACCUGUGGCU
RNAcentral lists this ribosomal RNA (461 nucleotides) under Salmonella enterica subsp. enterica serovar Elomrane. RNAcentral describes it as "bacterial LSU rRNA". It matches the Rfam family "Bacterial large subunit ribosomal RNA", at positions 454 to 816 of the family's 2925-position model. The record is from RNAcentral. Lineage: Bacteria; Pseudomonadati; Pseudomonadota; Gammaproteobacteria; Enterobacterales; Enterobacteriaceae.